RNAcentral lists this unclassified non-coding RNA (142 nucleotides) under Flavobacterium fryxellicola. Its description in RNAcentral is "Flavo-1 RNA". Lineage: Bacteria; Pseudomonadati; Bacteroidota; Flavobacteriia; Flavobacteriales; Flavobacteriaceae. The record is from RNAcentral.
UUUUAGCCCAGAUGGUAGCGGAAACCCCGGAGUUAAGGAAGUUAUUUUUCUAGGUGUAAAAGAGCGACCAACGGAAGCUCCUUUUAUGCUUUAGAAAAACAACUGGAAUAACGAGGAGUUGCAGUGCACAGCUGGAUUGGCU